UACGAAGGGGGGCGAGCGUUGUUCGGAAUUACUGGGCGUAAAGGGCGCGUAGGCGGUCCUUCAAGUCAGGCGUGAAAGCCCCGGGCUCAACCUGGGAACCGCGCUUGAGACUGGCGGACUCGAGUUCGGGAGAGGAUGGUGGAAUUCCCAGUGUAGAGGUGAAAUUCGUAGAUAUUGGGAAGAACACCGAUGGCGAAGGCAGCCAUCUGGACCAACACUGACGCUGAGGCGCGAAAGCGUGGGGGAGCAAACAGG
Molecule: ribosomal RNA, 255 nt
Filed under: uncultured bacterium
Lineage: Bacteria
Description: partial 16S ribosomal RNA
Rfam family: Bacterial small subunit ribosomal RNA
Source: RNAcentral